Carassius gibelio (silver crucian carp) is the source of this 2018-nucleotide long non-coding RNA. RefSeq lists it as uncharacterized. Lineage: Eukaryota; Metazoa; Chordata; Actinopteri; Cypriniformes; Cyprinidae. The record is from RefSeq and is a predicted model, not a curated record. The transcript has 4 exons.
UAACCGACUUCCUGUUGGGAUCCGGAUUUCGUACCAAGAGACUUUUUUGUAGGUAUUGGAGUGUUACAUGUGUGUACCAAUUUUUGUACAUGUACGUGAAACAUAGCUCGAGGCGCACUCCGUUGAAAGUGUAUAGGUGGCGCUAUAGAGCCAUUCUGCCACACCCGGUGGAAUAUUGGCCUGCAGAUCUGUUCAGGUCAGGACUCUUAUCACACAUGUGAAGUUUGGGGAAGAUCGGACAUUUUAUGCCUGAGUUAUAACAUCUUUUAUUCCCAUGGCGAGACAUCGAACUUCGUCGCGGCGCCAUGAACAAGCCUUUUAACGAAAACUCAAGAUCUUCACAAAUGAACAUCGCACAGGCCUUUAGAUUAGACUGACCACAAAAAAGACAUUGAUGUCAUAAAAUUUCUAGGAGUAGUUCGUCGCAGCGUAAAAUAUGUCACUUCCUGUUGCCAAUAGGUGGCGCUAUGACUAUAACUGAAUAUGGGCAUGUCAAUCUGUUCAGGUUCGGAAUCUCAUCAAACAUGUGAAGUUUGGGGCAGAUUGGACAUUGUAUGUGUGAGUUAUAGCAACUUCAUUUUUCAUGGCGAAUCAUCGAAAUUCGCCAGGCCGCCACGGACACGCCCUUCAACGAAAACUCAAGAUCUUCGCAAUUUAACAUCGCAAAGGCCUUUAGAUUAGGCAUACCAAAUUUGGUGUUGAUUUGAAGAAAUCUCUAGGAGGAGUUCGUUAAAAUGCAACACAUGGAAAUGACCAAAAUUACACAAAAUAUGCUCAUAAUAUUAAAAAUAACCGACUUCCUGUUGGGUUUAGAAUUUCGCUCCAAGAGUCUUUUUUGUAGGUAUUGGUGUGUUACAUAUGUGUGCCAAUUUUCGUGCAUGUACGUGAAACAUAGCUGGAAGGCUGUUGAUUUUCUUGGUAUAGGUGGCGCUGUCGAGCCAUUUUGCCACACCCUCUUCUGAAUCCUAUAUCAGACGAAAAUUUUCACCAGGUUUGACGCGUGUGCAAAGUUUCAUGACUUUUUGAGCAUGUUAAAGCCCUCAAAAAUGCGAUUCAUUCGGGAGAAGAAGAAGAAGAAUAAUAAUAAUAAUAAUAAAAAACAAAGCAGAUACAAGAGGGUCCUCGCACCUCGGUGCUCGGGCCCUAAUUAAAGCUGCAAGCAGCGAUGAACGGGCCCUCGCACCCGGGCUCACCGGCAGCGAGUGGCUUUAGUUAAUAGGUGAACGGUGAGAAAUAUGCGUUUAAACUCAUAAAUAUAAGUAGAAUAUAUCAAUGUUUAUUCCAUAUAUGUGCCAAUCUUCCUGUUGCCAGCAGGUGGCGCUAUCAUUAUAAUGGAAUAUUGGCCUUCAGAUGUGUUCAGGGCAGGACUUUUAUCGAACAUGUGAGGUUUGGGGAGGAUUGGACACUUUAUGCCUGCGUUACAACAACAUCCUAUUUCAUGGCGAAACAAUGAAAUUUGUCAGGCCGCCAUGGACACGCCCUUUAACGAAACCUCAAGAUCUUCGCAAUUUAAGAUCGCAAAAGGCUUUAGAUUACACUGACCAAGUUUGGUGUUGAUCUGAAUAAAUAUCUAGGAGGAGUUCGUUAAAGUACAACCCCUGAAAAUGGCCAAAACAACACUAAUUUUGCAGAGAAAAUUCCAAAUAACUGACUUCCUGUUGGGAUUCGGACUUCGUACCAAGAGACUUUUUCGUAGAUAUUGGUGUGUUACAUGUGUGUACCGAUUCUUGUACAUGUACGUGAAACAUAGCUCAAGGCGCACUCCGUUUAAAGUGUAUACGCACUCCGUUGAAAGUGUAUAGGUGGCGCUAUCGAGCCAUUUUGCCACACUCGAUGGAAUAUUGGCCUUCAGAUCUGUUCAGGCCAGGACCCUUAUCACACAAGUGAAGUUUGGGCAAGAUCGGACAUUUUAUGCCUGAGUUAUAACAUCUUUUAUUCCCAUGGUGAGACAUCGAACUUCAUCACGGCGCCAUGGACACACCUUUUAACAAAAACUCAAGAUCUUCACAACUAAACAU